UGAGUCAUCGAAUCUUUGAACGCACCUUGCGCCCCUUGGUCAUUCCGAGGGGCAUGCCUGUUUGAGUAUCAUGAACACUUCAACUCUCACGGUUCGCCGUGGUGAGCUUGGACUUUGGGGGUUUUGCUGGCCUUUGCGGUCGGCUCCUCUCAAACGGAUCAGCUUGCCAGCGUUUGGGGGCAUCGUAGGUGUGAUAACUAUCUACGCCUGCGGUCGUCUGCCAUGUAACCUUUGGUAACGGAGGUUCGCUGGGGCUUAUGAAAGCCCGAGGACGGCAUUUUGAACGUUCGAUCUCAAAUCAGGUAGGACUACCCGCUGAACUUAAGCAUAUCAAUAAGCGGA
This 342-nucleotide ribosomal RNA is filed under the name Thelephora palmata. RNAcentral describes it as "eukaryotic LSU rRNA". The stretch from base 1 to 71 matches the Rfam family "5.8S ribosomal RNA", at positions 85 to 154 of the family's 154-position model. The record is from RNAcentral. Lineage: Eukaryota; Fungi; Basidiomycota; Agaricomycetes; Thelephorales; Thelephoraceae.